CCUACGGGAGGCAGCAGUGGGGAAUAUUGGGCAAUGGGCGCAAGCCUGACCCAGCAAAGCCGCGUGAAGGAAGAAGGCUUUCGGGUUGUAAACUUCUGUGAAGAGGGAAGAGCAGAAGAGGGUACCUCUUGAAUAAGCCACGGCUAACUACGUGCCAGCAGACGCGGUAAUACGUAGGUGGCAAGCGUUGUCCGGAUUUACUGGGGGUAAAGGGCGGGCAGCCGGGAAGAAAAGUCAGAUGUGAAAUCCCGCGGCUCAACCGCGGAACUGCAUUUGAAACUGUUUUUCUUGAGUACCGGAGAGGUCAUCUGACUUCCUGGUGUAGCUGUGAUCUGCUUAUAUAUCAGGAGGAACACCGGUGGCGAAGGCGGCCUGCUGGACUGCGACUGACGUUGAGGCCCGAAAGCGUG
RNAcentral lists this ribosomal RNA (410 nucleotides) under uncultured bacterium. RNAcentral's name for it is "partial 16S ribosomal RNA". It matches the Rfam family "Bacterial small subunit ribosomal RNA", at positions 338 to 763 of the family's 1533-position model. The record is from RNAcentral.